Molecule: long non-coding RNA, 397 nt
Organism: Pseudoliparis swirei
Lineage: Eukaryota; Metazoa; Chordata; Actinopteri; Perciformes; Liparidae
Exons: 3
Source: RefSeq, a predicted model, not a curated record
CACCGAGACAUGGGCGGAUGGACAGCUCUGACCUGGGCGGCUUACAAAGGUCGUGUGGAGGUCACCAAGCUGCUGCUGGAGCACGGAGCCAACCCCAACACCACGGGACAGCAGUACAGUGUGUAUCCCAUCAUCUGGGCAGCAGGUCGAGGUCACGCUGACAUCGUCAAAGUUCUUCUCCAUGAAGGAGCCAAAGUCAACUGUUCAGACAAGGUGAGGAAACGAGGAGAUGAGGAGACGAGGAGACGAGGACACGAGGAGAUGAGGACACGAGGAGACAAGGACACGAGGAGACGAGGAAACGAGGAGAUGAGGACACGAGGAGAUGAGUACAAUACUAGACCUGAUCCCUGAUCAAUCCCUCACUGUGUGUGUGUGUGUGUGUCUCUCUCUCUCU